Long non-coding RNA from Harpia harpyja (harpy eagle), 1233 nucleotides. RefSeq lists it as uncharacterized. The transcript is spliced from 2 exons. The record is from RefSeq and is a predicted model, not a curated record. NCBI's taxonomy places the organism in Eukaryota, Metazoa, Chordata, Aves, Accipitriformes, Accipitridae.
CAUUUCUCCCGCUCGGCUGCCGGAGGGCGAGCGGGGGGCCCUGGCCAGACGGACCCUCCGGCCGCCGCGUCCGCGGGGAGACCGCCCCGAAGCGGGGCGGGGGGGGGGCCGGGGGCUGCCCCGCAGCGCGGCGGAGCUCGGGGCUUGGCCCACGGGCGGCAGCGGGUCCCGGCUCCCUCCCCACGGCAACGGGUCCCGGCUGCCCCGGCGCUCUGGCUGGCUCGGCACUCCCCCGGCGGAGCAGCCCGGGCGGCGCGGGCAACCCAGCCCCCGCAGCCUGCCGGGGAUCCCCGGGGAUCCCGCUCGGUACGGCCGGACCGGGCUGACGGCAGCCGCGCUCUUCUGCCUGCCCCUUUGCUGUUCUACACCAAGGCGCCGCGUCGAUCUGCGUUAUUAGCUGCGUUGAAUAUGGCAGAAAGUACCGGUCGGUAAGAAUGUAUCACGAACGUAGAGCAGUAAAUGAACUGGUAUGGCCACAAGGGAAGUCUGUGUCCCCACGGCAGUCCUCUUUCACCCAAGUGCGUGAUUCCUUUCACUAAUGCCCACACGCCCCACCAUACACACAGGCGUACGUGCCUUCCCUCUUUCUGAGGGAGCGUCGGUUCCCCAGGCCGGCCCGGAGCCUCUGCAGCUGGAAGGGGCAGCAGCACACCUCUGCUCCGAGGAGCCUGAGCCCAGCGGCACAAACUGCUGUCAUCGCAGCGAGAGGGCUUGAACUAUUUCACGUUUGCCCUUGCCAAAACCAUCUGCUGUGCAAUUGCAGGGCCAUCGAUUCGGAGCUGUGAGCCGCGAGCCACCGUGCCUUACCGGCAGCCAGCUUUGCUCUGAGCUGCGCCCGUCUCUCGGCUCCGAAGGCCCCCGAAGUAUGCCGCUGCGCGGGGGGAGCCCAUCGCCAUCCUGCCCGGCGGAGCCCCGGGAAGAGGGGUUCGACUGUAGUUUCCUCCAGCACCCACACCUCCAGCACCACACUCGCAGAGACGGGUGAAGAGAAGGGCCUGGCCCUUCAGCGCUGCAAAACUGGCUGGCUGACCCGAACCGUCCAUAAAAGGCUGAGUCCAGGGAUUCACCUGCGCCCACAGCCCUGCACGCCCCACUCAUGUUGGUGCUGGUUGUGGCACAGGCACGGGUGAACUUUCUCUUAAAAUAGCUAGCACAAGCUGGCCAGGGCCGGCACAGAUAGUUUUCACCUGCUUUAAACAAAUAUUGCAAGUGUUUUCUUUUGGUGUUUUGAAA